This 252-nucleotide ribosomal RNA is filed under the name uncultured bacterium. RNAcentral describes it as "partial 16S ribosomal RNA". It matches the Rfam family "Bacterial small subunit ribosomal RNA", at positions 524 to 776 of the family's 1533-position model. The record is from RNAcentral.
UACGUAGGUCCCGAGCGUUGUCCGGAUUUAUUGGGCGUAAAGCGAGCGCAGGUGGUUUAUUAAGUCUGGUGUAAAAGGCAGUGGCUCAACCAUUGUAUGCAUUGGAAACUGGUAGACUUGAGUGCAGGAGAGGAGAGUGGAAUUCCAUGUGUAGCGGUGAAAUGCGUAGAUAUACGGAGGAACACCGGUGGCGAAAGCGGCUCUCUGGCCUGUAACUGACACUGAGGCUCGAAAGCGUGGGGAGUAAACAGG